UACGUAGGCAGCGAGCGUUGUUCGGAGUUACUGGGCGUAAAGGGUGUGUAGGCGGUUGUUUAAGUUUGGUGUGAAAUCUCCCGGCUCAACUGGGAGGGUGCGCCGAAUACUGAAUGACUAGAGUGCGGGAGAGGAAAGUGGAAUUCCUGGUGUAGCGGUGAAAUGCGUAGAUAUCAGGAGGAACACCGGUGGUGAAGACGGCUUUCUGGACCGUAACUGACGCUGAGACACGAAAGCGUGGGUAGCAAACAGG
RNAcentral lists this ribosomal RNA (253 nucleotides) under uncultured bacterium. RNAcentral's name for it is "partial 16S ribosomal RNA". It matches the Rfam family "Bacterial small subunit ribosomal RNA", at positions 524 to 776 of the family's 1533-position model. The record is from RNAcentral.